RNAcentral lists this ribosomal RNA (506 nucleotides) under uncultured bacterium. RNAcentral describes it as "partial 16S ribosomal RNA". It matches the Rfam family "Bacterial small subunit ribosomal RNA", at positions 29 to 523 of the family's 1533-position model. The record is from RNAcentral.
AGUGAACGCUGGCGGCAGGCCUAACACAUGCAAGUCGAACGGCAGCACAGGAGAGCUUGCUCUCUGGGUGGCGAGUGGCGGACGGGUGAGGAUAGCGUCGGAAUCUGCCUAUUUGUGGGGGAUAACCUCGGGAAACCGGGACUAAUACCGCAUACGACCUACGGGUGAAAGCGGAGGACCUUCGGGCUUCGCGCAGAUAGAUGAGCCGACGUCGGAUUAGCUAGUUGGCGGGGUAAGGGCCCACCAAGGCGACGAUCCGUAGCUGGUCUGAGAGGAUGAUAAGCCACACUGGAACUGAGACACGGUCCAGACUCCUACGGGAGGCAGCAGUGGGGAAUAUUGGACAAUGGGCGCAAGCCUGAUCCAGCCAUGCCGCGUGGGUGAAGAAGGCCUUCGGGUUGUAAAGCCCUUUUGUUGGGAAAGAAAAGCAGCCGGUUAAUACCCGGUUGUCAUGACGGUACCCAAAGAAUAAGCACCGGCUAACUUCGUGCCAGCCGCCGCCGUAA